This 1133-nucleotide small RNA is filed under the name Vigna angularis var. angularis. Its description in RNAcentral is "Non-protein coding transcript". Lineage: Eukaryota; Viridiplantae; Streptophyta; Magnoliopsida; Fabales; Fabaceae. The record is from RNAcentral.
GGAAAUUGAAAUUAACUUUUUCCCUAAGGCUACCUAAAUAAGAUGACUUAGAUUUAUCAAAUUUUGAGUAAUUUUUCAAUUAUCAAUUUGAUAGUUCAAGAUGAUAGCUAGUAGUAGUCCUUUCCUCUUGAGCUGGUUCAUCUGGAUUGAAAGAUGAAUUGGACUGUGAAAGAUAAGCAUCUAAAUAGGCGCAUGGUUCUAGACAUUUUUUAUUCGCAUCCCCAUAUUUUACCUGUGUAUCUCCAUUGGGGGUGGUUAAAAGAUUAAACUGCCCCGUGCCACCGUUACCCUUGCUGUCGUUACCUCCUUGCCGUCGUCGUCGCUGUUCCCUUGCCAUCGCCGCUCCAUGUCUCGUUGCCGCCCUUGUCUAUUUGUUGUGUUAAGGAAUACUGACUAUCACGAAUGGCUGCUUCUAACAUGGCUACAAUGCAAACUACCACUGAAAAGGUAUUAUUCAAGAAGCUUCCAUGUGAUAUGAUUGAAUCAACAAUCUGCACGAAAGGACAAAUAACAACGAUGUGGUUGAGAUUCAAAAGCAGAAUAGAGGUGGUUUUCUGAUGUGCGAUGGGGAUACAACAGUAAGGCUUUGGUACGACUAGUUUGAAUUACCAACAAAAUUCCUCACGAGCAAUUUUGAAGAACUGACCUUGCUAUUGUCAAUCUUUGAUGGUGGUAAGUUUCUCCUGGAUGUAUACAUUGGUUUUGCUGCAUCGUAAAAGCUAAACCUGGGUGGCUGAAAAAUUACAGAAGUAAGCUUUCCUGGGCAAGAAAGAUUUUGGAUCUCAAUCAUUGAACAAGGAAAAUAAUUCUAUGAAAUUAAUUUGAAAAGGAUGAAAUGAAAAAAAUGUUUGUAGUUAACUUUUUAAUUUAACAAUUCAAUUCAUUUCUUAUGUUCACCUCUAGCAUAUCCCACUAAUAAGUAAUAGACUCAACACAUUCAAGUCAUUGAAGCUCAACAAGGUGAUUUGACACUCACAUGCUCAGUGAGGGCAAGAUUUGCCUCAAAGAAUGAUCUGAUGGUCCCUAUGUCUUCCCAAUAAUCAUUGAAGAGAUAAGCCUGCACACAGAGAUUGUCAUACCAUAGGUAAAUAAUAAACAGAAAAGAUUCCUAUGCAACUAUUUUAUCAGUCAUA